AUGAUGAAAACCAUUUCAGAAAUUACUCAAGUAGCAGUGGUCCGAUACUCCCAUCAGAAAUCAGAACGGUCAUGUUUCUUCUGCCCCUUGAUAAUUUACACGUACGGCACAUUCGUACUCUCAUACUUUUCCCCGGUAAAAUUCACACAGCACAUGAUGCUGCAUCGCGCGCAUGCAGCUGAUCAUCAACAGCCGACGGCGGCGGACGGGCAAUUAACGGCCAGCUCACAGGCUGGGCACCCUCUCGGCGGCGCCGGAGAUGACGGUGAGCAGGUUGUUGCCGAAGGGGUCGCUGAGGUGCGCGCACAGGUUCUCGAAGGGGCCCUCGCCGGUGACGUAGGCCUGGAUGAAGAACCCCAGCAUGGAGAACAUGGCCAGCCGCCCGUUCUUGAUCUCCUUCACCUUGAGCAGCGCCGCCUGGUCCGGGUUGAUGGGGAUGCUGUUGCCGAAGUAGUUGAGGGUGUUGCCGUCGAGGAGAAGGGCGCCGGUCUGCAGGAUGUUGUUUAUGGCACCGUGAGUUCAAACUUCCAAAGUUCUGAAUCUGAAGCCGUGAAAACUGACGACCAGCAUUCAGCAAUUACUACCUUGAACCAAACGGCCUCGGGGCCGCAGUUUGCGCCGAACUUGUUGAGCGCCUCGGGGAUGAUGAAUCCGGCGGCGCCGAGCAUGGCCCACCUGGCAUGGAUGAGCUCAAAGGCCUGGUACCUGCAGAAUUGA
RNAcentral lists this ribosomal RNA (717 nucleotides) under Triticum aestivum (bread wheat). RNAcentral describes it as "partial small subunit ribosomal RNA". The record is from RNAcentral. Lineage: Eukaryota; Viridiplantae; Streptophyta; Magnoliopsida; Poales; Poaceae.